RNAcentral lists this ribosomal RNA (709 nucleotides) under uncultured bacterium. Its description in RNAcentral is "partial 16S ribosomal RNA". It matches the Rfam family "Bacterial small subunit ribosomal RNA", at positions 876 to 1502 of the family's 1533-position model. The record is from RNAcentral.
GGGAGUACGAUCGCAAGGUGAAACUCAAGGGAAUUGACGGAAACUUUUACAAGCCGUGGAGCGUGUGGUUAAUUUGAGAUCCGCGAAAAACCUUACCAGUUUGAGUUGCUACGCCUUAUUUGCCACUUCUAACGAAACAGAGCUUGCGUCUGUCUUCGUUUUAUUAGAGGGGUUGAAUUAAAGCCGCUAGUAACACAGGUGUUGCAUGGCUGUCAUAAGCCCGUGUCGUGAGACGUAAGGUUAACUUCUAUCCACGGGCGAAACCCUCCUUUUUUGUUCUGUUAAUCAGAAAACAAAUCGACCACACCGGGGGCGACGACGUAACUCGUUUACGUUAUGCUUUGGGUAAUGCAGGGGGGGAGCAUGACAAGUCAUCAUGGCCCGUAUAAACUGGGCUACACAUUCGCUACAAUGGAAAGGACAAUGAGAUGCCAGAACUAUAAUUUCGAGCUAAACUCUAAACCUUUCCCUCGUACAGAUUAUCUUCUGCAAUUCGAAGAGAUGAAGGAGGAAUGGCCAGUAAUCGCACAUCAGCAAUGGUGCGGUGAAUUCGUACUGAAGUUUUGUACAAACCACCCGUCACGGUCCGAAAGGAGGUCCACUCGAAGUUGGUGCCUGUGUUUGGCUAGCCGCUUUUUUUGAGAGCUAUCAAAUCAGAGCCAACGUCUGUAGGGUCACCGAUUGGAACGAAGUCGUAACAAGGUAACCA